UGCUGAAUCGCCUUACGGCUCAGUAACACGUGGACAACCUAACCUAUGGAGGGGGAUAACCCCGGGAAACUGGGGAUAAUACCCCAUAGACUAUGGAUGCUGGAAUGCUCUGUAGUUGAAAGGUCCGCCGCCAUAGGAUGGGUCUGCGGCCGAUUAGGUUGUUGUUGGGGUAACGGCCCAACAAGCCUGUAAUCGGUACGGGUUGUGGGAGCAAGAGCCCGGAGAUGGAUUCUGAGACACGAAUCCAGGCCCUACGGGGCGCAGCAGGCGCGAAAACUUUACGAUGCGGGAAACCGUGAUAAGGGAACUCCGAGUGCCCGUAAAAUCGGGCUGUCCAUCUGUUUAAAUAACAGGUGAAGAAAGGGCCGGGCAAGACCGGUGCCAGCCGCCGCGGUAAUACCGGCGGCUCGAGUGGUGGCCACUAUUACUGGGCUUAAAGCGUUCGUAGCUGGUUUGUUAAGUCUCUGGGGAAAUCUGCCGGCUCAACCGGCAGGCGUUCCAGGGAUACUGGCAGACUAGGGACCGGGAGAGGUGAGGGGUACUCCAGGGGUAGGAGUGAAAUCCUGUAAUCCUUGGGGGACCACCUGUGGCGAAGGCGCCUCACCAGAACGGCUCCGACAGUGAGGGACGAAAGCUGGGGGAGCAAACCGGAUUAGAUACCCGGGUAGUCCCAGCCGUAAACGAUGCGCGUUAGGUGUAUCGGUGACCACGAGUCACCGAGGUGCCGAAGAGAAAUCGUGA
RNAcentral lists this ribosomal RNA (741 nucleotides) under uncultured Methanomicrobiaceae archaeon. Its description in RNAcentral is "bacterial SSU rRNA". It matches the Rfam family "Archaeal small subunit ribosomal RNA", at positions 71 to 817 of the family's 1478-position model. Lineage: Archaea; Methanobacteriati; Methanobacteriota; Methanomicrobia; Methanomicrobiales; Methanomicrobiaceae. The record is from RNAcentral.